Molecule: ribosomal RNA, 434 nt
Filed under: uncultured Lachnospiraceae bacterium
Lineage: Bacteria; Bacillati; Bacillota; Clostridia; Lachnospirales; Lachnospiraceae
Description: bacterial SSU rRNA
Rfam family: Bacterial small subunit ribosomal RNA
Source: RNAcentral
ACGGGAGGCAGCAGUGGGGAAUAUUGCACAAUGGGGGAAACCCUGAUGCAGCGACGCCGCGUGAGUGAAGAAGUUAUUCGUAAUGUAAAGCUCUAUCAGCAGGGAAGAAAAUGACGGUACCUGACUAAGAAGCCCCGGCUAACUACGUGCCAGCAGCCGCGGUAAUACGUAGGGGGCAAGCGUUAUCCGGAUUUACUGGGUGUAAAGGGAGCGCAGGCGGCCAUGCAAGUCAGAAGUGAAAGCCCGGGGCUCAACCCCGGGACUGCUUUUGAAACUGUAAGGCUAGAUUGCCGGAGAGGUAAGCGGAAUUCCUAGUGUAGCGGUGAAAUGCGUAGAUAUUAGGAGGAACACCAGUGGCGAAGGCGGCUUACUGGACGGUAAAUGACGCUCAGGCUCGAAAGCGUGGGGAGCAAACAGGAUUAGAUACCCUGGUA